RNAcentral lists this ribosomal RNA (301 nucleotides) under uncultured bacterium. RNAcentral describes it as "partial 16S ribosomal RNA". It matches the Rfam family "Bacterial small subunit ribosomal RNA", at positions 509 to 807 of the family's 1533-position model. The record is from RNAcentral.
CAGUAGCCGCGGUAAUACGUAGGUGGCAAGCGUUGUCCGGAAUUAUUGGGCGUAAAGGGCUCGCAGGCGGUUUCUUAAGUCUGAUGUGAAAGCCCCCGGCUCAGCCGGGGAGGGUCAUUGGAAACUGGGAAACUUGAGUGCAGAAGAGGAGAGUGGAAUUCCACGUGUAGCGGUGAAAUGCGUAGAGAUGUGGAGGAACACCAGUGGCGAAGGCGACUCUCUGGUCUGUAACUGACGCUGAGGAGCGAAAGCGUGGGGAGCGAACAGGAUUAGAUACCCCAGUAGUCCCUGUCUCUUAUAC